GCAGCACGGACUUCGGUCUGGUGGCGAGUGGCGAACGGGUGAGUAAUAUAUCGGAACGUAUCCAUAAUGGGGGAUAACUAAUCGAAAGGUUGGCUAAUACCGCAUACGCCCUACGGGGGAAAGCUAGGGACCUUCGGGCCUGGCGUUAAUGGAGCGGCCGAUAUCUGAUUAGCUAGUUGGUGGGGUAAAGGCCCACCAAGGCGACGAUCAGUAGCUGGUCUGAGAGGACGACCAGCCACACUGGAACUGAGACACGGUCCAGACUCCUACGGGAGGCAGCAGUGGGGAAUUUUGGACAAUGGGCGCAAGCCUGAUCCAGCCAUUCCGCGUGAGUGAAGAAGGCCUUCGGGUUGUAAAGCUCUUUCGCAAGGGAAGAAAGAUUACUCUCUAACAUAGAGUGAUUAUGACGGUACCUUGAUAAGAAGCACCGGCUAACUACGUGCCAGCAGCCGCGGUAAUACGUAGGGUGCGAGCGUUAAUCGGAAUUACUGGGCGUAAAGCGUGCGCAGGCGGUUUUGUAAGUCAGAUGUGAAAUCCCCGAGCUCAACUUGGGAACUGCGUUUGAAACUACAAGACUAGAAUAUGUCAGAGGGGGGUAGAAUUCCACGUGUAGCAGUGAAAUGCGUAGAGAUGUGGAGGAAUACCAAUGGCGAANGCAGCCCCCUGGGAUAAUAUUGACGCUCAUGCACGAAAGCGUGGGGAGCAAACAGGAUUAGAUACCCUGGUAGUCCACGCCCUAAACGAUGUCUACUAGUUGUUGGUGGAGUAAAAUCCAUGAGUAACGCAGCUAACGCGUGAAGUAGACCGCCUGGGGAGUACGAUCGCAAGAUUAAAACUCAAAUGAAUUGACGGGGGCCCGCACAAGCGGUGGAUUAUGUGGAUUAAUUCNAUGCAACGCGAAAAACCUUACCUGGNCCUU
RNAcentral lists this ribosomal RNA (919 nucleotides) under uncultured bacterium. RNAcentral's name for it is "bacterial SSU rRNA". It matches the Rfam family "Bacterial small subunit ribosomal RNA", at positions 69 to 983 of the family's 1533-position model. The record is from RNAcentral.